Molecule: ribosomal RNA, 427 nt
Filed under: uncultured bacterium
Lineage: Bacteria
Description: bacterial SSU rRNA
Rfam family: Bacterial small subunit ribosomal RNA
Source: RNAcentral
CUGGUGGCGAGUGGCGAACGGGUGAGUAAUACAUCGGAACAUGUCCUGUAGUGGGGGAUAGCCCGGCGAAAGCCGGAUUAAUACCGCAUACGAUCUACGGAUGAAAGCGGGGGACCUUCGGGCCUCGCGCUAUAGGGUUGGCCGAUGGCUGAUUAGCUAGUUGGUGGGGUAAAGGCCUACCAAGGCGACGAUCAGUAGCUGCGUCUGAGAGGACGACCAGCCACACUGGGACUGAGACACGGCCCAGACUCCUACGGGAGGCAGCAGUGGCGGAAUUUUGGACAAUGGGCGAAAGCCUGAUCCUAGCAAUGCCAGCGUGUGUGAAGAAGGCCUUCGGGUUGUAAAGCACUUUUGUCUCGGAAAGAAAUCCUUGAGUUCUAAUAUAGCCGGGGGAUGACGGUAGCGGAAGCAAUAGACAACCGGCUAU